UAUUGGGACACAUAUGGGGACACAUAUGGGGCCAUACUGGGGCACAUGUGGGGCCAUAUACGAGCAUAUAUGGGGCCAUAUUGGGGCACAUUUGGGGCCAUAUUGGGACACAUAUGGGGACACAUGGGGACACAUUUGGGGCCAUAUUGGGGCACAUUUGGGGCCCUAUCAGGGCACAUGUGGGGCCAUAUAAGGGCACAUAUGGGGCCAUAUUGGGGCACAUGUGGGACCAUAUUGGGACACACAUGGGGACACAUUUGGGGCCAUAUUGGGACACAUAUGGGGACACAUUUGGGACCAUACUGGGGCACAUGUGGGGCCAUAUACGAGCAUAUAUGGGGCCAUAUUGGGGCGCAUAUGGGGACACAUGGGGACACAUUUGGGGCCAUAUUGGGGCACAUGUGGGGCCAUGUAAGAGCAUAUAUGGGACCAUAUUGGGGCACAUUUGGGGCCAUAUCAGAGCACAUUUGGGGCCAUAUAAGAGCACAUGUGGGGCCAUAUACGAGCAUAUACGGGGCCGUAUUGGGGCACAUGUGGGGCCAUAUAAGGGCAUAUAUGGGGCCAUAUUGGGGCAUAUUUGGGGCCAUACUGGGGCACAUAUGGGGCCAUAUACGAGCAUAUAUGGGGCCAUAUUGGGGCACAUGUGGGGCCAUAUUGGGACAUACAUGGGGACACAUUUGGGGCCAUAUUGGGGCAUAUUUGGGGCCAUAUCAGAGCACAUAUGGGGCCAUAUGGGGACACAUUUGGGGGCACAUGUGGGGCCAUAUACGAGCAUAUAUGGGGCCAUAUUGGGGCACAUUUGGGGCCAUAUUGUGACACACAUGGGGCCAUAUUGGGGCACAUCUGGGGCCAUAUUGGGACACACAUGGGGCCAUACUGGGGAACAUAUGGGGCCAUAUACGAGCAUAUAUGGGGCCAUAUUGGGGCACAUUUGGGGCCAUAUUGGGACACACAUGGGGCCAUACUGGGGCACAUAUGGGGCCAUAUACGAGCAUAUAUGGGGCCAUAUUGGGGCACAUAUGGGGCCAUACUGGGGCACAUGUGGGACCAUACUGGGGCCAUAUUGGGGCACAUUUGGGGCCGUAGGGGGGUACCCGCGGGGCGCCUAUGGGGCAGGGUCGGGGUCCCACCUGCGCAGGCGGAAGGAGAAGACGUUGUGGCGGAAGAUGCCGCGCCGCAUCAAAUUGUCGAACACCGGCACGCCCGGCCCCGCCGCCGCCCCCGGGUAGGCCAGGCCCAGCACCCCGUCAAACUGCGCGGCCGCGAACGUCAGCCCCGGCAGCACCACCGCCUCCGCGAACAUCUGCCCCUCCACCGACACGUUGGAGAUCUGGGGGGGGGCGGGGGGGUCAGGGUCCCCAUAGGGAAACCCGUAGGGAGCCCCAUAGGGAACCUCAGGGGGAUCCCCCAUAGGGAAGCCCAUAGGGAAACCCAUAGGGACCCAAUAUCUGCGCCUCCACUGAUACGUUGGAGAUCCAGGGGGGGCGGGGGGGGUCAGGGUCCCCAUGGGGACC
This 1514-nucleotide long non-coding RNA is filed under the name Numida meleagris (helmeted guineafowl). Its description in RNAcentral is "lncRNA (ENSNMEG00000000274.1)". The record is from RNAcentral. Lineage: Eukaryota; Metazoa; Chordata; Aves; Galliformes; Numididae.